This 242-nucleotide long non-coding RNA is filed under the name Lathyrus oleraceus (garden pea). RNAcentral describes it as "Pisum sativum (pea) long non-coding RNA (PSAT_LNC029706)". Lineage: Eukaryota; Viridiplantae; Streptophyta; Magnoliopsida; Fabales; Fabaceae. The record is from RNAcentral.
GGUCUUAUAGGUCUUGUAAAUGUAACUGGGAUGUUUGGCCUCAUCGUUGGUCUUGUAGAUGUAACUGGGUUGUUUGGCCUUAUCGGUGAUCUUAUAGAUGUAACUGGGUUGUUUGUCCUCAUCAGUGGUCUUGUAGAUGUAACUAGGCUGUUUGGCCUCAUAUGAGGUCUUGUAGAUGUAAAUGGGUUGUUUGGACUGAUCGACGGUUUUGUAGAUGUAAUUGGGUUGUUUGGCGUCAUCGA